UAACACUUUCCCAUGUUUCCACUUCUCAACAGUUGGCUGAUCCGUUGACGAAAGCGUUAUCCCGGACUGCUCUUUCUCCUAUUUUGUCCAAGUUAAAGGUGGUUUCUCCCCCCCUUCAACUUGAGGGGGGGUGUUGAGAUAUGUAACAAUAGGCUAUUUGUGCAAUUAGGCUGAUUUUGUAAUUUGUUUAUAUACUCUGUAAAUAGGUCAAGUGUGUAAAUAGGCUACUAUUGUAAUUAGGCUNNNN
This 247-nucleotide long non-coding RNA is filed under the name Nicotiana benthamiana. RNAcentral describes it as "long non-coding RNA (NBEN_LNC029928)". Lineage: Eukaryota; Viridiplantae; Streptophyta; Magnoliopsida; Solanales; Solanaceae. The record is from RNAcentral.